This is a long non-coding RNA of Parus major (Great Tit), 2073 nucleotides long. RefSeq lists it as uncharacterized. Lineage: Eukaryota; Metazoa; Chordata; Aves; Passeriformes; Paridae. The transcript is spliced from 9 exons. The record is from RefSeq and is a predicted model, not a curated record.
GACAGCUUCUCCAUUCCCGUCUCAGGUACAGCUCCUCCCUUCCAGCCUCAAGCACCGGCCCGCCAUUCCCGCCUCAGCCAAAGCCCCUCAUCCCCGCUUCAGCCAGAACACCCCCUCUUCCCGCCUCAGCCAAAGCCCCGCCAUCCCCGCCUCAGCCAAAGCCCCGCAAUCCCUGCCUCAGCCAAAGCCCCGCAAUCCCUGCCUCAGGCACCGCCUUGAAGGGCGGGCCCUCGCGGCAAACACGCUGGAGAUUGAGUGUUCCUGCCUGUCCCUCUGUUGUUGGGACAAGUGAUGCUUGUGGUGUUUCCCCAGUGCUGGUGACUGACAUUCCUCCCUGCUGCUCCUGCCAGGAUCUCCUGGAUGCUUCUGAUGUGGGAUUUGCUCAGCAAGAGAAUUCAGCAUUUGAGGAUUACCUAGAAAUUUCCAAUUUCUCAACUCAGGAGAAGACUUGUAGAUCAUUAACUGCACUGGAUACCUAACACAAGAUCUGGGUACAAUUUGGAUUGGAAUCACUUGGAUAAACAUUAUCAGAGGAAAACUCUGUGUUUUGAUCCAGCAUGAGCUAAGACAACUUCAAUGAGGCCAGAGGCUUUUCACCCAAAAGCAGACCACAGGAAUUCAGAGAGUGAAGCUGAAUGAAGCCAUGGAACUGAGUCAGGCCCCAAAAACCCAGGGAAAAUCAGGAAGCAUUUGCCACCAGAUUCUUUCAGUGUAAAGGAACCCAAACAUGUCAUUGCUAAUUGAUAUCAGCAAAGAGAAGCAGAAGGCUGGACCAGCCAUUCUUCUGGGCAGGAGCUGAAAAGAUCAAGAAAGACUCCUGAUGUUAUCUUGAAAAAGGAUGUAGGCUACUGGCUAAGGUUGGGAGUAAUGGGAGCAUGUGCAGCUCGGUCUCUCCAUACAAGGUAACGAGCCUUCUGAACAAGCUGCCAGACACUGACACACUUCCUGAAACAGCAAGUAUGUGUUUGCUUCUUCUUAACCUUCAUUUUAUAUCUGAGUUGGGACCACAAUGUUCACAUCCCACAGGCUUGAGCCUUUCAGUUUCUAGAUCAUCACUGAGGAACUGACAUUUCACUGAAACAAUAGGGUGAAUGAGAACAAUAAUAAUUUGUCUUUUGCCUUCAGCGGGAAGCAAAAGUAGAAGGUGGAUAAACAGAAACAUAUUCUGGGCUCAUUGAAAUCAAAUGUAUUUCACAAUGUAGUGUGUGUUAGAACUUUUAGUGCUCUGAAUUAAGCAGAAUAUAGAGCAAGCAGAACCAUGGGAUGGUAGGGCUGGAAGGAAUAAGAAAUCACCUGAUACAAGGCAAAAGCCACAGCCUUUGGAGGGUUCCUGGCAGGCAUUUGUCAGCCUGCCUUGAAAUCUUCAUUAAGGAUGCACAAAACCUCAAAUUUUCCUGCUGUUCAUGGCCCUUUCAUUACAAAAUAUGUCUGAUAAUGUAACCUGAAUCUUUCUUGAAUUUUAUCUUGUAACUUCUGCAGACACAUAAAAUAGCCUUCUACAUGUCCGAGAGGCUGUUAUCAAGGCUUUCCUCAGUCUGUUUGGCUAAAUAUCCCACUGUUCCAAUAUUUUACCCUAAUUCAUAAUUUAUAGAUCACUUCAUCAUUUUUAUUGCUGUGUUUGGGACUGUCUCUGACCAGUCCAUAGACUUCUUGAAGUGUGGUCCCUGACACAGCCACAGCAAUCCAGCUAAAGCCUUAUCAGUGCUGCUCUAGCAAAAGGGUUCCUCUGCAAGCUUGUCUGCUAUCCACAUUCCAGAAUGACACUGUGUUGGCAGCAGCGUGACGUUGUUAACUCCCAUCCUGUCUGGUCUCAGAUGUCAUUUCUGUCCUUUCUAUCUGAAUUUCCCCCUCCUCAGCUAUUCCACAUUUUCUGUCUGAGCAGGUUAUUAUUCCUGAGCACGGUGCUUACGCUUGUAGAAGUCAAAAAAGAUUAAAAGUUUUCCGUUUGUAUCUCCAGUUUGUCACAACUAUGUGGAAUCCUAUUCUUGACCUCCAGAGUACUGGCAAUGGACCAGACUUCAUUUGUCUCUAAGUCAAAUGAGCCUCUUCUGUGAUGUGACCCUUGGGUAAGGA